Molecule: ribosomal RNA, 301 nt
Filed under: uncultured bacterium
Lineage: Bacteria
Description: partial 16S ribosomal RNA
Rfam family: Bacterial small subunit ribosomal RNA
Source: RNAcentral
CAGCCGCCGCGGUAAUACGAAGGGGGCUAGCGUUGUUCGGAUUUACUGGGCGUAAAAGGCGCGUAGGCGGACUGAUAAGUCAGGGGUGAAAUCCCAAGGCUCGACCUUGGAACUGCCUUUGACACUGUUUGUCUUGAGUUCGAGAGAGGUAAGUGGAACUGCGAGCGUAGAGGUGAAAUUCGUAGAUACUCGCAAGAACACCAGUGGCGAAGGCGGCUCACUGGCCCGAUACUGACGCUGAGGAGCGAAAGCGUGGGGAGCGAACAGGAUUAGAUACCCCUGUAGUCCCUGUCUCUUAUAC